UGCGUAGGCGGUUAGUUAAGUCUGUUGUGAAAUCCCCGGGCUCAACCUGGGAAUGGCAAUGGAUACUGGCUAGCUAGAGUGUGUCAGAGGAUGGUGGAAUUCCCGGUGUAGCGGUGAAAUGCGUAGAGAUCGGGAGGAACAUCAGUGGCGAAGGCGGGCCAUCUGGGACAACACUGACGCUGAAGCACGAAAGCGUGGGGGAGCAAACA
Molecule: ribosomal RNA, 209 nt
Filed under: uncultured bacterium
Lineage: Bacteria
Description: partial 16S ribosomal RNA
Rfam family: Bacterial small subunit ribosomal RNA
Source: RNAcentral